RNAcentral lists this ribosomal RNA (408 nucleotides) under uncultured bacterium. Its description in RNAcentral is "partial 16S ribosomal RNA". It matches the Rfam family "Bacterial small subunit ribosomal RNA", at positions 28 to 526 of the family's 1533-position model. The record is from RNAcentral.
GACGAACGCUGGCGGCGUGCUUAACACAUGCAAGUCGAAGAUAGUGGCGAACGGGUGAGUAAUACGUGAGUAACCUGCCCUCCUUUUUGGGCUAAGCCUUGGAAACGGGGUCUAAUACUAAAUAAAGGGGGAUGGGGUCGCGGCCUAUCAGCUUGUUGGUGGGGUUAUGGCCUACCAAGGCGGUGACGGGUUGCCGGGCUGAGAGGGUGAACUGGAACAGAGGCACGGGGGUGCCGCCCAGAGGACGACGGGAGGGGGCAGUGGGGGCUAUGGGAGAAAGGGCGAAAGACCGAUGCAGCGACGCCGAAGAGGGGAUGAAGGCUUUCGGGUUGUAAAACUCUUUCGCAAUGGAACGGGUAGGUGGAGAAGAAGCGCCGGCUAACUACGUGCCAGCAGCCGCGGUAAUUC